RNAcentral lists this ribosomal RNA (465 nucleotides) under uncultured bacterium. RNAcentral describes it as "partial 16S ribosomal RNA". It matches the Rfam family "Bacterial small subunit ribosomal RNA", at positions 28 to 507 of the family's 1533-position model. The record is from RNAcentral.
GACGAACGCUGGCGGCGUGCUUAACACAUGCAAGUCGAACGGAAAGGCCCCCUUGUGGGGUAAUCGAGCGGCGAACGGGUGAGUAACACGUGAGUAACCUACCCUUGACUUUGGGAUAACUUCAGGAAACUGGGGCUAAUACCGGAUAGGAGCUCCUGCUGCAUGGUGGGGGUUGGAAAGUUUCGGCGGUUGGGGAUGGACUCGCGGCUUAUCAGCUUGUUGGUGGGGUAGUGGCUCACCAAGGCUUUGACGGGUAGCCGGCCUGAGAGGGUGACCGGCCACAUUGGGACUGAGAUACGGCCCAGACUACUACGGGAGGCAGCAGUGGGGAAUAUUGCACAAUGGGCGGAAGCCUGAUGCAGCAACGCCGCGUGCGGGAUGACGGCCUUCGGGUUGUAAACCGCUUUCGCCUGUGACGAAGCGUGAGUGACGGUAAUGGGUAAAGAAGCACCGGCUAACUACGUG